RNAcentral lists this ribosomal RNA (253 nucleotides) under uncultured bacterium. Its description in RNAcentral is "partial 16S ribosomal RNA". It matches the Rfam family "Bacterial small subunit ribosomal RNA", at positions 524 to 776 of the family's 1533-position model. The record is from RNAcentral.
UACGUAGGGCGCAAGCGUUAUCCGGAAUUAUUGGGCGUAAAGAGCUCGUAGGCGGUCUGUCGCGUCUGCUGUGAAAACUCAGGGCUUAACCCUGAGCUUGCAGUGGGUACGGGCAGACUAGAGUGCGGUAGGGGAGACUGGAAUUCCUGGUGUAGCGGUGAAAUGCGCAGAUAUCAGGAGGAACACCGGUGGCGAAGGCGGGUCUCUGGGCCGUAACUGACGCUGAGGAGCGAAAGCAUGGGGAGUGAACAGG